This 257-nucleotide ribosomal RNA is filed under the name uncultured bacterium. Its description in RNAcentral is "partial 16S ribosomal RNA". It matches the Rfam family "Bacterial small subunit ribosomal RNA", at positions 96 to 354 of the family's 1533-position model. The record is from RNAcentral.
UGGCGACGGGUGAGUAACGCGUGGGGAACCUGCCUUGCACCGGGGGAUAACACUUAGAAAUAGGUGCUAAUACCGCAUAAGCGCACAGAGCCGCAUGGCUCAGUGUGAAAAACUCCGGUGGUGCAAGAUGGACCCGCGUCUGAUUAGCUGGUUGGCGGGGUAACGGCCCACCAAGGCGACGAUCAGUAGCCGGCCUGAGAGGGUGAACGGCCACAUUGGGACUGAGACACGGCCCAAACUCCUACGGGAGGCAGCAG